AGUGUCGUACGGGUGCGUAACACGUAUGCAACCUACCUUGUACAGGAGGAUAGCUCGGGGAAACUCGAAUUAACCCUCCAUAAUAUGUUUGUGUGGCAUCACACGAACAUUAAAACUGAGGUGGUACAAGAUGGGCAUGCGAUUGAUUAGUUAGUUGGCAGUGUAACGGACUACCAAGACGAUGAUCAAUAGGGGACCUGAGAGGGUGAUCCCCCACACUGGCACUGAGAUACGGGCCAGACUCCUACGGGAGGCAGCAGUAGGGAAUAUUGGACAAUGGGUGAGAGCCUGAUCCAGCCAUGCCGCGUGCAGGAAGAAGGCGUUAUGCGUUGUAAACUGCUUUUGCCAGGGGAUAAAAUAACUGUGCGCAGUUAAUUGAAGGUACCUGGUGAAUAAGCCACGGCUAACUACGUGCCAGCAGCCGCGGUAAUACGUAGGUGGCAAGCGUUGUCCGGAUUUAUUGGGUUUAAAGGGUGCGUAGGUGGCCCUGUAAGUCAGUGGUGAAAUAUCUCAGCUUAACUGAGAGGGUGCCAUUGAUACUGCAGGGCUUGAGUACAGAUGAGGUAGGCGGAAUUGACGGUGUAGCGGUGAAAUGCAUAGAUAUCGUCAAGAACA
RNAcentral lists this ribosomal RNA (615 nucleotides) under uncultured Cytophagaceae bacterium. Its description in RNAcentral is "bacterial SSU rRNA". It matches the Rfam family "Bacterial small subunit ribosomal RNA", at positions 94 to 708 of the family's 1533-position model. Lineage: Bacteria; Pseudomonadati; Bacteroidota; Cytophagia; Cytophagales; Cytophagaceae. The record is from RNAcentral.